Molecule: ribosomal RNA, 253 nt
Filed under: uncultured bacterium
Lineage: Bacteria
Description: partial 16S ribosomal RNA
Rfam family: Bacterial small subunit ribosomal RNA
Source: RNAcentral
UACGGAGGGGGCUAGCGUUGUUCGGAAUUACUGGGCGUAAAGCGCGCGUAGGCGGACCUGCAAGUCGGGGGUGAAAGCCCGAGGCUUAACCUCGGAACUGCCUUCGAUACUGCGGGUCUCGAGUCCGGGAGAGGUGAGUGGAAUUCCUAGUGUAGAGGUGAAAUUCGUAGAUAUUAGGAAGAACACCAGUGGCGAAGGCGGCUCACUGGCCCGGUACUGACGCUGAGGCGCGAAAGCGUGUUUAGCAAACAGG